AUACAUAAUCAGACAUUUCAGACCUAAAGAUUAUGUAAUGUAACGAGCAACCUAAGAACUAAAGGGAUACAUUCAAUAGUUACUGAAGGUGAUACAUAAUCAGACCUAAAGAUUAUGUAAUGUAACGAGCAACCUAAGAACUAAAGGGAUACAUUCAAUAGUUACUGAAGGUCAGAUUUUAAACACGAUAAAUAUGCAGAAUAGAUGUGAUAGGCCAUGAGAGAAAAGUAUGACAGAAGAAUGCAUCAACCCAAGUUUGACAAAACACUUUUCUUAAAACACUUGAGAAAUUUGACAAAAUGCCACACCUUUCUUUGUACUUUGCCUCAAAUGCACACCUUUCAUUGUGUUAGACAAAAUAGCACACCUUUCUUUGACACCUUGAUAAAACACCAUUUUUUAUUCUUUAAAUCACUUUUCAAACUCAAACCCACAUGUCAUGAUUUUCUGGACCAAAUCACCCCUGCCAAUUUAGAUCGAUCGAUCCAUCUUCUCAUAUCCAACGAACCACAAGAACAG
This 519-nucleotide long non-coding RNA is filed under the name Brachypodium distachyon (stiff brome). Its description in RNAcentral is "long non-coding RNA (BDIS_LNC004698)". The record is from RNAcentral. Lineage: Eukaryota; Viridiplantae; Streptophyta; Magnoliopsida; Poales; Poaceae.